GGCGCCGACGGCAUGCCGCCACGCAACCCGCUCGCAAUGUGCCAUCCACCAGUUCGCUGCAAUUAACAUUUUGAGCAAUUCUCGAACUUCCGAACUUCCCGCAAGUGCAAAAGACGAAAUUCGCUUAAUUUAAGCCGUUCUGUGCGCUUAACGUUGCGGUGUGCAGGACUGUGUCGCCGAAUUGUUUUGGCGUACUUUGCGGAUUAUUGCAAGGAGCGCGUUUCCCGGAGCGAAUUCAUCAACAUCUUUUAACGAUACCCGCAUUCGCACAGCCCGGAGUCCCUCGUCCGAAAAAGAUGAUUACUCUCCUGGAUCUCCUCCAAAACCCAUAUCGUAAGAACUGACGUGUUCCGCUGCAAU
This is a long non-coding RNA of Zophobas morio, 360 nucleotides long. RefSeq lists it as uncharacterized. Lineage: Eukaryota; Metazoa; Arthropoda; Insecta; Coleoptera; Tenebrionidae. The record is from RefSeq and is a predicted model, not a curated record. The transcript is spliced from 4 exons.